Molecule: ribosomal RNA, 497 nt
Filed under: uncultured bacterium
Lineage: Bacteria
Description: partial 16S ribosomal RNA
Rfam family: Bacterial small subunit ribosomal RNA
Source: RNAcentral
GAUGAACGCUGGCGGCGUGCCUAAUACAUGCAAGUCGAGCGAACGGACGAGAAGCUUGCUUCUCUGAUGUUAGCGGCGGACGGGUGAGUAACACGUGGAUAACCUACCUAUAAGACUGGGAUAACUUCGGGAAACCGGAGCUAAUACCGGAUAAUAUUUUGAACCGCAUGGUUCAAAAGUGAAAGACGGUCUUGCUGUCACUUAUAGAUGGAUCCGCGCUGCAUUAGCUAGUUGGUAAGGUAACGGCUAACCAAGGCAACGAUGCUUAGCCGACCUGAGAGGGUGAUCGGCCACACUGGAACUGAGACACGGUCCAGACUCCUACGGGAGGCAGCAGUAGGGAAUCUUCCGCAAAGGGCGAAAGCCUGACGGAGCAACGCCGCGUGAGUGAUGAAGGUCUUCGGAUCGUAAAACUCUGUUAUUAGGGAAGAACAUAUGUGUAAGUAACUGUGCACAUCUUGACGGUACCUAAUCAGAAAGCCACGGCUAACUACGUG